GACGAACGCUGGCGGCGUGCCUAAUACAUGCAAGUCGAGCGAUGAAGGUUGGUCCUUGUACCAACUGGAUGAGCAGCGAAUGGGUGAGUAACGCGUGGGGAAUCUGCCUUUGAGCGGGGGACAACAUUUGGAAACGAAUGCUAAUACCGCAUAAAAACUUUAAACACAAGCUUACAGUUUGAAAGAUGCAAUUGCAUAACACAACGAUGAUCCCACGUUGAAUUAGCUAGUUGGUGAGGUAAAGGCUCAUCAAGGCGAGGAUACAUAGCCGACCUGAGAGGGUACUCUGCCUCGCUGGGACGGGGGCGCGGCCCAAACUCCUGCGGGAGGCAGCCGGAGGGGACCUUCGGCGAUAGACGAAAGGCGGACCGUGCAACGCCGCGUGAGUGAAGAAGGCUUUCGGAUCGUAAAACUCUGUUGGUAGAGAAGAACGUUGGUGACAGUGGAAAGCUCAUCAAGUGACGGUAACUACCCAGAAAGCGACGGCUAACUACGUG
This 497-nucleotide ribosomal RNA is filed under the name uncultured bacterium. Its description in RNAcentral is "partial 16S ribosomal RNA". It matches the Rfam family "Bacterial small subunit ribosomal RNA", at positions 28 to 507 of the family's 1533-position model. The record is from RNAcentral.